Molecule: ribosomal RNA, 1421 nt
Filed under: Verrucomicrobiota bacterium
Lineage: Bacteria; Pseudomonadati; Verrucomicrobiota
Description: bacterial SSU rRNA
Rfam family: Bacterial small subunit ribosomal RNA
Source: RNAcentral
CUACGGAGAGUUUGAUUCUGGCUCAGAACGAACGCUGGCGGCGUGGUUAAGACAUGCAAGUCGAGCGGGAAUCUGCGGGUAGCAAUAUUCGUGGGUUUCAGCGGCGAACGGGUGCGUAACACGUGGGCAACCUACCUGAAAGAGUGGAAUAACUAGCCGAAAGGUUAGCUAAUGCCGCAUGUGAUCCAGAGAGUUCGCUCUUUGGAUUAAAGCUGGGGAUCGUAAGACCUGGCGCUUUUAGAUGGGCCCGCGGCCUAUCAGCUAGUUGGCGAGGUAACGGCUCACCAAGGCUUACGGGUAGCUGGUCUGAGAGGACGACCAGCCACACGGGAACUGAGACACGGUCCCGACACCUACGGGUGGCAGCAGUUUCGAAUUUUUCGCAAUGGGCGAAAGCCUGACGGAGCGACGCCGCGUGGGGGAUGAAGGUCUUCGGAUUGUAAACCCCUGUCAGCUGGGAACAAGGUCUCGUGGUGAAUAGCCAUGAGAUUUGAUAGUACCGGCAGAGGAAGCCGUGGCUAACUCUGUGCCAGCAGCCGCGGUAAUUCAGAGACGGCAAGCGUUGUUCGGAUUCACUGGGCGUAAAGGGUCCGCAGGUGGCGAGGUAAGUCUGACGUGAAAUCCCGCGGCUUAACCGCGGAACUGCGUCGGAUACUGUCUUGCUAGAGGACGGCAGAGGAGACUGGAAUUCACGGUGUAGCGGUCUUCCGUGCCGGAGCUAACGCGUUAAGUAAGCCGCCUGGGGAGUACGGCCGCAAGGUUAAAACUCAAAGAAAUUGACGGGGGCCCGCACAAGCGGUGGAGUAUGUGGCUCAAUUCGAUGCAACGCGAAGAACCUUACCUGGGUUUGACAUGCACCAUGAAAGCCGAUGAAAGUCGGUGACGGCCCGAAAGGGUGCUGGGGGUGCACAGGUGCUGCAUGGCUGUCGUCAGCUCGUGCCGUGAGGUGUUCGGUUAAGUCCGGUAACGAGCGCAACCCCUAUGUCCUGUUGCGAAGGCCGCAAGGCACUGCACUCUGGACAGACUGCCCUGUUUCAACGGGGAGGAAGGUGGGGAUGACGUCAAGUCCGUAUGGCCCUUACACCCAGGGCUGCACACGUACUACAAUGCACGGUACAAUGGGAAGCAAUACCGCGAGGUGGAGCAAAUCCUCUAAAACCGUGCUCAGUUCAGAUCGUAGGCUGCAACUCGCCUACGUGAAGCUGGAAUCGCUAGUAAUGGCGCAUCAGCUACGGCGCCGUGAAUACGUUCCCGGGCCUUGUACACACCGCCCGUCACAUCAUGAAAGCCCCUUGUUCCCGAAGUCAUACCAGCUAACCGUAAGGAAGCGGGUGCCUAAGGAAUGAGUGGUGAUUGGGAUGAAGUCGUAACAAGGUAGCCGUAGGGGAACCUGCGGCUGGAUCACCUCCUUUCUAAGGAGU